This 578-nucleotide long non-coding RNA is filed under the name Selaginella moellendorffii. RNAcentral's name for it is "long non-coding RNA (SMOE_LNC000233)". The record is from RNAcentral. Lineage: Eukaryota; Viridiplantae; Streptophyta; Lycopodiopsida; Selaginellales; Selaginellaceae.
UGAGAGAUCUCUCUCACAAUCACUCUAGAGUGAUUGCCUCUCCACGAUCGAUCCGCGCUCCACGAGGUUCCUGCGCUUGCAAUGUGUUUGUAUUGUAACCGAUUACUGCAAACGGAAACAGUAGUGUCAGUACUAGAGAAGAUUAAAUCUGAUACGCAGAGCUCUUACGUGCAAGAUCCACGACCUGCUUGAGCAUCAGAUGCGAUAUCAUCGGAUGUCAUCCAGUUAUCUAUCCAUAUGUGCUACACUGUGAGGAAAAAUAAAAUCUUUCAGUUCAGUAUCAUUAACAAUGGUCUAAAAGCUCACAGGGAGGAAGAACGCAAGAGAGCAAACAAAUAUUUCUUCUACAAGCACACAGAUUUCUCCUCCUCCUUUGCAUUCAACACAGGACAGUCUAUCUCCGGCAGAAGAAGCAGAUCAAACGCAACGAGAUCAAGCGCGCAGCGCAGCUAUUCCGCUCAAAAUCUAGCGAUGACAAUGGCGUUGGACUAGGAUACCUUUGGGAAUGGCGCCCGCCGCCAUCGCCGGAGGAAGAGCGCGCCGGCGAAGAGAAGGAGAAGCCCUAGAACGUUCUUCCG